Molecule: ribosomal RNA, 463 nt
Filed under: uncultured bacterium
Lineage: Bacteria
Description: bacterial SSU rRNA
Rfam family: Bacterial small subunit ribosomal RNA
Source: RNAcentral
CAGGCCUAACACAUGCGAGUCGAGCGGAGCGAGGGUGCUUGCACCUUAGCUUAGCGGCGGACGGGUGAGUAAUGCUUAGGAAUCUGCCUAUUAGUGGGGGACAACGUUUCGAAAGGAACGCUAAUACCGCAUACGUCCUACGGGAGAAAGCAGGGGAUCUUCGGACCUUGCGCUAAUAGAUGAGCCUAAGUCGGAUUAGCUAGUUGGUGGGGUAAAGGCCUACCAAGGCGACGAUCUGUAGCGGGUCUGAGAGGAUGAUCCGCCACACUGGGACUGAGACACGGCCCAGACUCCUACGGGAGGCAGCAGUGGGGAAUAUUGGACAAUGGGGGGAACCCUGAUCCAGCCAUGCCGCGUGUGUGAAGAAGGCCUUUUGGUUGUAAAGCACUUUAAGCGAGGAGGAGGCUUACCUAGUUAAUACCUGGGAUAAGUGGACGUACUCGCAGAAUAGCACCGGCAACUC